AUGCAGUCAAGUCUGCCGGCCUUCAAGACUGCACUCGGUGCCCAGGCAAAGCUCACCAAAAGAGCAAAGAAAACCAGGUCAGCCGGAGUGCCAGACUUGCCUGACCCGGAGGCGACGGCUCAAGAACCGCCGGGUUCCUCCGCCCCCGAAGCCACCAUUCCAAUGGACACGGCGCCUGAAGCCCCUGCCCCGACUACCAAGGCAACGACCGAAGCGGCGGUUAACCCGGAGGCCUCCGGCUCAGCCCCUCCAGCAGACGACCCGGACGUGGUAAUCACCCGGACGGAAUUCGUUGAGCUGGGGAGACCGACCGCGUUGGCCAAGUGCUCCACGAAGGGGGAGUUACUGCAGCCCCACCGGGUGAACCUAGACCUCUCCGGCUACACCGACUUGAGCAUUGGAGAGCUCGUCUCUGGCUACAUCAACCAAGUCCACAAGAGCCGGGACGCCGAGGUUGCCAUGGUUAACCAAAUCCAACAAAAGUCCGAGGCUAUUGGCAAGAAAUUAGAGUCGGAUCUUGCGGAUCUCAAGAGCCGGCUGAAGACACAGGAGAUGGAGACCCGGAAGGCAAACGCCAAGUUCGUCUCCAGCAUCGCCGCUCAAGAGAAGCUGAAGACCGAAUUUGAUGCUGAGCGGAAGGCCUGGGCUGAGGAGAAGGCCGCCCUGGUGACCCGGGCGGAACAGGCGGAGAAGGCGCUCUCUGAGAAAGCCGCCGAGCUCUCCGGCCUAAAGCGCCAGGUUUCCCAAAUGGUAGCCGCCAUCUUCGGUAAGUCGCCUCACCGGCUUUCAUUAAGUCUGUAUAUGUCAUGA
Molecule: ribosomal RNA, 810 nt
Filed under: Triticum aestivum (bread wheat)
Lineage: Eukaryota; Viridiplantae; Streptophyta; Magnoliopsida; Poales; Poaceae
Description: partial small subunit ribosomal RNA
Source: RNAcentral